UUUUCCUUUAAAUUUGUUGCAGGUUUUUUGAAAGGUUAGUCUGUUUAAUUUGAAUGAAAUUUCUCUCAUAGUCAGUUUGUGCUGCCAAAGAAACAAAUGAUUUGGAGGUACAGAAUGGGGCCUGGUAAAUGGUGAAGAACAAAGUAAUAUUGUGAUAGGUUGUUGCAGACUUAAAAGGCACCUGAGGACAGCAUGAAGCAUAUAAUGAAGUCAUAUAACUGUUAGGGAAGCUCACACGAAAGAGCAAGGCAUCUGGGAACUCAGCAGAGUUUUGCUUUGACAAAUGACCUCAUUUACCACCUUGACAAACACUGACUGUACUGACCAAUGUUGCAUACAGCUCUGAUUUAAGCCAUCACUACACAGAAAUUGCCAGUUGCCGCCCGUUUCCUAUGGCUCU
Pezoporus flaviventris is the source of this 400-nucleotide long non-coding RNA. RefSeq lists it as uncharacterized. Lineage: Eukaryota; Metazoa; Chordata; Aves; Psittaciformes; Psittacidae. The transcript has 2 exons. The record is from RefSeq and is a predicted model, not a curated record.